This 1188-nucleotide long non-coding RNA is filed under the name Sinocyclocheilus grahami. Its description in RNAcentral is "lncRNA (ENSSGRG00000035449.1)". The record is from RNAcentral. Lineage: Eukaryota; Metazoa; Chordata; Actinopteri; Cypriniformes; Cyprinidae.
GUUGAUUUUGUGCGUCUUGUUCAGUAAUUAUAUUAUAUGGCUAAAUUGUAGCUGAUGCUCCAGACAACAGCCUUGACAGCCAGAAAACCCAGGCAAGACAUUACAGGACCCUACGAGAAAUGUACAAAGCAAAAAAGCCAAACAAAGCUGCUGUAACCCAUCUAUUAAACCUGGAGUUCCAGGCCAGAAGAAAUUUCAUUGACUCGAAUGCUUUGAAGGAGCAAGACAAACCAACAAAAAUUUUGCAAGCAUACCCCUGCUUCAAAGAACUGGACCAUGUGGGUACACAGAUAUAGCAUAUUUUAGACAGAUGUAAAAUGUACUGACAAAUAUCCCAUAUCCUCUACCUAACUGCAGACAGAAAUUUAAAUUUUUUUUUUUUUUAUUAAAUAAUUAUUUCAGGCAAUGGAUGAACUGCGGAGAAUCAUUGAGCCAGACAAUUGCAAAUACAUUUCUGAGGUGAAGGGCAGGUGGGAGACCUUCUACUCCAAGGUUCAGUUUUAUGGAGUGAUGAAGAAAGUCAUGAAGCCUCCGCGGACAUUAAAUGGAGUUGAACAUGCCAUUGCUGUUUUUACUGCCCUUCCACUGCUCUUCCCAUCUGGCUCAACAGCACCGAAGAAACAGGUCCCAAUCAGUGAGGCUCUUUUCCACGUUCUGACACCCUCAGAGGAUCCAGAUACCUACAUCCACAGGCGAGCAUUUUCCACUCCUGUCUUGCUGGUUGGUGAGGAGAACUGCAUGGUGGUUGUAGAUACAACUCCAGUUCUAACAUUUGACAGAGACUUGCUCCACGAGGGGCCUCUCUACCUCCUGGCCUAUUACUAUGCAUUUCAUCUCACGUAUCCAAAGUGUCUUGCAACACUCUUGUCUGUGUUGCAAACACAAGUUCUGAGAGAUGCCAUCCACGAGCAGGAUACAACCCCCUCGUACAAAAAGGCCAUUCAAGAAUGGAGAAUGUUUGUUGACUAAUUACCGUUUCAAACCUGUGAGGCUGUGAGACGGCUUCAGUGUUUUUUUGUUGUUGUUUUGUUUGUUUUUCUAUUCUAUUUUUUCUUUUUUUCUUUUAUUAAGGGAAAGUUUUAAUUCAUUUAGUUAGUCAGUCUUAGUUUUGGACUGUUCAUCCCAUUUUGCUAUACCCUAGUUGUUUAAGAGGAAAAUGUUCGUUCUUGAAUCUGCCAUACAUUAAAG